Long non-coding RNA from Anguilla anguilla (European eel), 356 nucleotides. RefSeq lists it as uncharacterized. Lineage: Eukaryota; Metazoa; Chordata; Actinopteri; Anguilliformes; Anguillidae. The transcript is spliced from 3 exons. The record is from RefSeq and is a predicted model, not a curated record.
CUUUAAAACCCGGAUAACUGUUUUUCCUACUCUAUCUCCUCCCUCUACAUGUAAAAGGCACAAAGCAACAGAAAUCGACGCUACAACACCACACCGUUGCCUAUAUCCCCUCCUCCUCUCGCUCUAUCUCGGAUGAAAAGAAGAUUGUAUGGAGGCACUGUGUUGACCAGAAGACCGCCAUUACCGCUGGGAUCCAGGGAACAAAUUUUGAGUUUGCAUAAGAAAAGUCUGUGUUCAACAUAGCACUGCUGUGGUGUUCCCAUUCUUCCCCCCACUAGUGGGCUUGAUUCAUUUUGGGAUCCAUUGCCUUGCACUGUCAUCUGCGUCGGACCAUUUCUGACAGAAGGUGUCUCAGG